GCGCUGGUGGUGUAGGGGUUAAGCAUGCCACCCAUAUAUAGAGGCUACAGUCCUCGAAGCGGGCGUCCCGGGUUCGAGUCCCGGACCUGGAGACCU
Non-coding RNA from Ataeniobius toweri, 96 nucleotides. The record is from the annotation of a GenBank genome assembly. NCBI's taxonomy places the organism in Eukaryota, Metazoa, Chordata, Actinopteri, Cyprinodontiformes, Goodeidae.